UGGGGAAUCUUGCACAAUGGGGGCAACCCUGAUGCAGCGACGCCGCGUGAGCGAUGAAGCCCUUCGGGGCGUAAAGCUCUUUCGACCGGAACGAUAAUGACGGUACCUGGAGAAGAAGCUGCGGCUAACUACGUGCCAGCAGCCGCGGUAAUACGUAGGCAGCGAGCGUUGUUCGGAGUUACUGGGCGUAAAGAGUGCGUAGGCGGCGAGCCAAGUUUGGUGUGAAAUCUCCCGGCUUAACCGGGAGGGUGCGCCGAAAACUGGUUGGCUGGAGUAUGGGAGAGGAGAGCGGAAUUCCUGGUGUAGCGGUGAAAUGCGUAGAUAUCAGGAGGAACACCUGCGGUGUAGACAGCUUUCUGGACCAAAACUGACGCUGAGGCACGAAAGCGUGGGUAGCAAACA
This 402-nucleotide ribosomal RNA is filed under the name uncultured bacterium. RNAcentral's name for it is "bacterial SSU rRNA". It matches the Rfam family "Bacterial small subunit ribosomal RNA", at positions 355 to 774 of the family's 1533-position model. The record is from RNAcentral.